UAAUACUCGAAUGCGAUUUUAUUAGUUUUAAUGCAUAUAUAUAUCAUAUUCUUAUCAGAACUUUAAAAUUAUACAUGUUAAUAAUAUUAAGAUGAGUUAACUUUUGACAAACCCGUGUGAGAGCACACAUUGGACUUUUCCAAAAGAGGAAGAAGGCUACAUAUAUAGUAGUAGACCAACCCCCAAAACUGGCAAAGCUAGCCAUUAUAGCACUUCACACAUAAUUACCUCUUUGUUUGGUUUUCCCUAGAAAGUUGGAAAUUUUCCACUUUCUCCCACCACUUGUCCAUAUUUAGUACUUGAAACCCUCCAAAGCCAACAACAAACCCUGGUAAAGGGGAGACACAAUAGUGGAUAAGUCCAACACUUGCAUUUCCAAUGAAACAACAUCCAAUAAACUAUAGUAUGCUUCGAAUCUUUCAUUCUUGGGCAUGACAACCCUAAUGAAAGGAGGAAACCAUUCCCAUAUACACCCACUACUUGUGUCUUUUAACUGAAUAAACUAAGUAGUUUAUCUUGUACUUCCAACAUAGCCCAAAAGCUCCCAAAAGUGGAGGAAAUUAUUGGAACCCUUAGCUUGAAGAUUCAAGAUCACAAGCUAGAGUUUAGGGUUUGUAUACCUGCAAACUCAGAGCAUAUCUCAGAGUUGUCCCUAUAUAACAACAGCAUUUUGGUGGUGAUAAAGAUGCUCCCUCAAAUAGAAGUUGUUAGAAAAUUCUGAAGUUUUCACAACUUGUGCAAGAUAGCCCUUCCUUUAUGUAUGUAGGUCAAGGGCUCUAGCUAAUAUAUAUCAUGUUAUGAACUAUUGAUUCAAUGUAUUAAUUCGUUAACAAGUAAUACAACACCGAGUUUGAUGUACAGCUGAUGCAUGUGAGUAUUGUGAUGUAUAGUGUCUAUAGUACCUAGCUACCUGUGCAUAGCGUGUUUAGUAUAUGUAGACUGACAAAGGCUAACAAAUAACAAUACUACUGGACAAUGAGACUAACAAUUUGGGAUGAGUUCAUCUAGUACCAGUACAAAUGCAAUGGUGGACAAAAGGCUACCCAUUUUGAGCCCAAAUCCGUACCUGUAUUCCAUCCCAAACCGGUAGAACCGCUAGCUAGUCAUAAACUUCACCGGUCGGAAACUUAGCUUGUCGUCACCUUUACCCACGAGAGACAGUAUGAGUAUACCCAUAUCUCCGCUACCCGUUAUCCACGAGCCGGUCAUAUUGAUAUCUAAUACAAAAGAAGAAAAUAAACAACAUAUAUAGAUGGUGGAUGAAGGGAAGGAGCUCCCUUCAGUCCAAGCACAGAAGGAGAGGGAUAGUAGAAAUAUCUCCCGCAUCAUUCACACUAUCACUCAUAGUAGAAAUAUAUGCCUUGUUUGUAGUACUACUAAUGGGGGAUAGAGUGAAUGAGUCGGCAGCUACUUCCAUUUUCCCAUCCAUGUUUGAACUCAAGGAAAGCCCUCUCCUUCCACAGAGCCUUUAUAAUCGACAACAGAUCCAGAAUAAUUUAAUGCACCAGGUAACAUAUAGUGUUCAAAGAUAGUCAAAGGCACAGGUAUAGCAAAGUAUAAGAUCCAAACAUCAAGCAUCACCAUGAGUCUAACUCUAUGCAUAUAUCACUAUUGAUGGUGAAUCCAGAAUAAUUUUGUUGCACUAACUAUGACUUGAUUUGAAAGGUAAAAAGUUAAACAGGAAUUUAGAUGGUAAAGGAAAAUUUUACUUCCAAAAACAUUGUUGGGUCCGACUUAAUUUUUUCUCACAAGGAAAAUAUUCAAAAUUCCGUCAAACUUUUCACAUACCAAAUUAAACCUACACGUAUACAGACAUGCUUGGCACAUCCCGACUCGAUGCACAAAAUCAUGAUAUAUGUGAUCACAAAUUAGGUCGAGAUGUGUCAGCAUCGAUCAAAGAAUAAUUCAAUACACUAAGUCGGAUUAUAUAAAAAAUUGGAUUCCAUUAGUUAGGUCUCUAAAUAAGGGAAAAAAACAUAUUAUCAGAGUUUUAGAUUCAAAAAGCGAGUAGGCGGAGGCUUCUCUAGCAUUGAUCUAAACCCUAAUAAACCAUAUGAAUCUUGUUCUUAUGAGAUGAUAACAGAAUAUAUACAUAGAGAGAAAGGGCAAACUCAAGAUAUAACAGUGUCAGAGACUUAUGAGAAAGGGAGAAACUUUAGAAGCUACAAUACUAUAAAACCAGAGCCUUUUACAAUCUGGGUUGGUGUAUAUUUAUUGCUGCAGAUCCAUCAGAAGCCGUAGCAAUCAUGCAUGUGCAGUUGAAUAAAAAUGGUGAAAAAGCUUAAUAGAAACAACGCAGCAGCAAAAACCUUGAACACAGCUUUGGAUUAAGCAGACCAAACAAAUCAAUGGUGAAAAGCAUGAACAGAAACAGUUAACACAGCAGCAAAAACCUUGAAAACAACAGAUUUGAGGAAUUACUAUACCAAAAGAUACCAUCUUUCAGCUAGAAAAAAUCAAACUAAUGACUACCCUGUUUAUAUAACUAGACUCUCUCUCUUUUGAAGAGGAAGAAGAAGAAGAAAGACUGAGUCUUUCUCAGUCUACUGCUGUUCAUAUCUAUCUGUGCCGGGUGGGGGAUGGUUGGUUCAUAGUUGGUGGCUCUAAAAUGACUCUUUUGACCAUAUACCCACGUUUCUAAAUGUGUCUACUGCAGAAAAACCAGACCUUUUUCU
This 2675-nucleotide long non-coding RNA is filed under the name Linum usitatissimum (flax). RNAcentral describes it as "long non-coding RNA (LUSI_LNC005826)". The record is from RNAcentral. Lineage: Eukaryota; Viridiplantae; Streptophyta; Magnoliopsida; Malpighiales; Linaceae.